CUUCUGUUGGGCUUUAUAGAAAAAAAGAAGAUGUUAGUAUUGUCGGUGUUUUUAGCGCAAAACCUACACUUACCCCGGGGUAAGUCUAAUGAAUAUACCAUGGUUUCUGAUUUGUUGUUUAAAUAGCCCCACUGCCAUGUCAUCCCUAAACUUUCAACCAAAAUUUCAAGCCUAAUUCAAAUUUGAAUUUUGAAAAUAAUAAUAAUUUAAUUUUUUUUUUUUGGUUUCCUGGUGUCGAUGGUUCCAAGGGAAGAGGUCAGGAGAGAAAUCUUGAUUUGGAGAGCCUGAAGGAGAGAAAGCUUGAAGGAGAGAGGAAGGUUGGAGGAGAGAAAAUUCGAAAGGAGAAGCCCAAACCACUACCUCGUCAACGAACCCCAACCGCCGCCGCCACUCACGCGAUACAAAUUGCCCAAAACCACCUCAACAACUCUAACCCUGACACCAACUUCUAUCACGCAUUACGUAUACGCCUUUAAAUGGUUGAAUUCGUCAAUGAAAACUCCAUAUUUGGAGUUCAUAUCUGGAGUUUUCAUGAUCGAAUUUCUCCAUUUCUCCAUAGAAUGGGGAAGGGUUGUUCAUCGCAGAUUUAUCCGAUAUAAAUUGGUGGGUUAGUUGUAAAUAUGGACAGGAUUUGGAUUAAUUCAGACCGAUUUGGUGGCGGAACAGGACCAGAAGCAGCCAAAUAGAAGGUUUGUUGAGAAUGCAGGUGAGGAGCGAUUGUAUCUGUGAAAGAACAGAUUGAAAACCUCAACCAGGUUACUUUUCCUUCUUUUGUGUGUGUACGCCGCCGUGUUAGUUUACUAUCAAUUUGGUUUGAUGGACUGUGUAACAGAUGUUAUUUUGUUAAUUAUUUGCUUCAAAGUUGAGAACUACCGGAUUUAACUAAAUAAAUAAAGAAGUAAUUUUAAUUAAUUAAUGUCGGAAAACUGUUUAACUGGUGAAUAUAGAGUCGCCGGAAAUGGAAGCACAUGCAUCAGGAUUUCGUCGUGUUCUACUCCUUCGCUUUGCGUCGCCGGUAUCUAGGCUGCUUACAUUUCCCAAGUCGUUCUUCAAGAACAUCUGUAAUUCUUCUUCAUAAGGAAACUCAUAUUGGGAGGCAUGCGAACCCUGGCGAUGUUCGGAGAUUAGUUAAAGUGCUAGUCAGAUAAACUAGUAAGUAGUAACCCCUAUUCUUCAACAUUCUACAACACCUGGUCAUGGUCUUCGGAAAUGUGAAGAAGCUUACACGGAAAUACGAUUAUAUUUUAGAAAUAAGCUUUGGUACUUAGAUAUAGUCUUAUUGUAUAAAUAUGUGGUUACAGGAAAAUUGUACAAAUGUGGACGAUAGUGUUUGGGGUAAAUUAUAUAUUGCUUGAAAUUAUUUUAGUAUAAAACGGAGUACUCCA
Molecule: long non-coding RNA, 1385 nt
Organism: Spinacia oleracea (spinach)
Lineage: Eukaryota; Viridiplantae; Streptophyta; Magnoliopsida; Caryophyllales; Amaranthaceae
Exons: 4
Source: RefSeq, a predicted model, not a curated record